GACCCGACAUAUUUUAGGAAGGAGCAGUGUAUAAAUAAAGAGGGAACUGAUGUCUCAGUGUGAGUCUCCACUGAGAUCACCCAUGUAUAUACAUGUCUGAGUUGUGCCUUUCUUUGCCUGCUGAAACAAUUCUUUGACAUAAUUUUUGGUCCUCCAAGCCGGAGAGGAAAUAACAACUGUUUUGUUGUGACUCCAAAGCAGAGAUCUACACUGAUUCCUGACGCCGUGGGGAGCCCGCACUGAAGUCUGUCGACAGCCCUCUCUAGGUAGAGGUGAAAGCCCAAGAGCGUAAAAAAUUCGGGUCUUGGCCAGUGUUUUUAUCAGUGGUCCACGGCGGUGGGAUUCAGUGGAACGAUCUAACGAAACCGGCUGCAGCGACGUUUCAGUGAGUAUCUGCAGGUUGAAGCCAGGUGACUGGAUCCUAAUCAGGGUACUCCAGAGGAAAAAUUGGAGCUCACCCUGUUGGGAGGGACCAUACCAAGUGCUUUUAACCAUGCCGACUGCAUGCAAGAUUUCUGAAAGACCAUCCUGGAUCCACCAAAGCCACUGUAAGUAAGUGAGUGAGAGCAUAGACUAAUAGACGCCGACGUCCCUGCCCUCUGGUGACCCGAAAGGUGGAGGAAGGGCUGAUCGGGUAUAUCCCGCCCUUUGCUUCUUGCCUUUGGUCUACUUAUCAGAGGGGUCAGGUGCGCCAGGUCAUCAUGAAGUUGCUCCUGGUCUCACUAACCCUAGCGGUGCUGGCUGCAGGAUGCUUCCUACUAUUCAAUAUGGACCAAAAGCAUCACCAGAAGAAAGCUUGGACGCAUGAUAACUCACACCACUACACAAUGACAUUUCCAAUGGCACCUAUUGGGUGCAGGGAAUGGCCUGGCUAUGUGGACAGCGGGCCUAUUUCACUCUCCC
Long non-coding RNA from Oreochromis niloticus (Nile tilapia), 903 nucleotides. RefSeq lists it as uncharacterized. The record is from RefSeq and is a predicted model, not a curated record. The transcript has 2 exons. Lineage: Eukaryota; Metazoa; Chordata; Actinopteri; Cichliformes; Cichlidae.